CGACCCCAUCAAAAAAAUAGGCAGAAGAUUUAAAUAGACAAUUCUCCAAAGAAGACAUGCUGUCUUCUAGUGAGACAUCAUUUCCCAUUUAUAAGUUCACAAGCCAUAUGUUUACGCAAGCCUUUGAUACUAUUUUCAUCAUUUAUCUAUACUUUAUUGCCUCUAACUACAUUCCCCUUUCAAUAAUGAGGACUCUAAUUUGCUUUUCUUCACUGAACUGGCACAGUGAAGAUCUACAUUUCCUUAAUGAGACUUAAGAUUCUUUUCCUUCCCAUUCUUUCAAGAAAAAAAAUGGGAAGCAUCAGCAAAUUAUUGACUUCCUGUUCAGCAAGCCCCAAGCCUCGUGACAGGACUUCUGCUCUGUUUACCAAUAGUGUGAGUCAGGGCUUGUGGUUGUGGCACAGUCAGCCCCACAGCAGCUUUAUCUCCUCUGACUUGAGGGAAGCCACCAAUGGACUGGAAGGGGAAUCUGGAAGAUCCAUUGGUCCUGAGACUUCAACUCUGCAUGGUAACUUCUAUUCUAAUGAGGUUUAGAAACCAUAGACUGAAUUGUCCCUAUCUUAGCCUGACACUGGUCAUGAAGUUUUCUUUUGUGAAGUGGCACUCAAUCAUUACCUCACAGCUGAACUUUAGUAUUGGACGCUUAGCUGCUUUCUUCAACUCAUGCAGUGUAUGCUCAUCAGAUUAAUCUUUCCAAAUCAUGGCUCUGAUGGUCAAGAUGAUGUCUAACCCCAACCACUGCCCUGGACUGAAUUUGCUUCCUUUCUGGAAAAGCGAAGAAAAAAAAAAUCCUAUGCCCACUUUAUAAUCAUUGUACACUGACUUGAUUGGAAAAAGCUUUAUAGAUAACUGUUGUUUCUUGGUAAAUGAAAUAAUUGCCUUUAUAAUAGAUCUUGGAGUGAGGCAUGUCUGAAUAAAGGGAUAAUUCAUAAGGUGAUUUCA
Molecule: long non-coding RNA, 942 nt
Filed under: Sus scrofa (pig)
Lineage: Eukaryota; Metazoa; Chordata; Mammalia; Artiodactyla; Suidae
Description: lncRNA (ENSSSCG00025043290.1, ENSSSCG00055019805.1)
Source: RNAcentral